RNAcentral lists this long non-coding RNA (384 nucleotides) under Gorilla gorilla gorilla (western lowland gorilla). RNAcentral describes it as "lncRNA (ENSGGOG00000044413.1)". Lineage: Eukaryota; Metazoa; Chordata; Mammalia; Primates; Hominidae. The record is from RNAcentral.
CCUGGGUCUGCCUUUCCCAUUGCCAAGAUGCCUUCUGCUGGCAACUUCACCCAUUAUGACUGAUCAUGGCAAAUGCCGGUCAGCUGGCCUCACAGCAGGUGUUAGGAAAAUAGUCUUUGGCUUGAUUAUGUUAUCUGGCUUUCCCCAAGGAGGAAAAGACUCAGAAUGGAUGGAAGUUGUUUAUAAAUUCUCCUCUGCUGCAUACUGUUAAGAAGGGGAAAGAGGAGUGCUGGACUCACCCUGAAUUCUUAUCUUGCGCGAGAUCCAAGAACUGUCUCUUGGGGUCUGUGCUGGGACUGCUUUCCUGUAACAUAUUUCUGGCGUCCACAGAAGGGACUAUAGUGAGGAAACCACUGACUUUGGGUAAGUGGUGGGGUCUUGUAA